RNAcentral lists this ribosomal RNA (497 nucleotides) under uncultured bacterium. RNAcentral describes it as "partial 16S ribosomal RNA". It matches the Rfam family "Bacterial small subunit ribosomal RNA", at positions 28 to 507 of the family's 1533-position model. The record is from RNAcentral.
GAUGAACGCCGGCGGCGUGCCUAAUACAUGCAAGUCGAGCGAACAGACGAGGAGCUUGCUCCUCUGACGUUAGCGGCGGACGGGUGAGUAACACGUGGAUAACCUACCUAUAAGACUGGGAUAACUUCGGGAAACCGGAGCUAAUACCGGAUAAUAUAUUGAACCGCAUGGUUCAAUAGUGAAAGACGGUUUUGCUGUCACUUAUAGAUGGAUCCGCGCCGCAUUAGCUAGUUGGUAAGGUAACGGCUUACCAAGGCAACGAUGCGUAGCCGACCUGAGAGGGUGAUCGGCCACACUGGAACUGAGACACGGUCCAGACUCCCACGGGAGGCAGCAGUAGGGAAUCUUCCGCAAUGGGCGAAAGCCUGACGGAGCAACGCCGCGUGAGUGAUGAAGGUCUUCGGAUCGUAAAACUCUGUUAUUAGGGAAGAACAAAUGUGUAAGUAACUAUGCACGUCUUGACGGUACCUAAUCAGAAAGCCACGGCUAACUACGUG